Molecule: ribosomal RNA, 835 nt
Filed under: uncultured Pseudomonadota bacterium
Lineage: Bacteria; Pseudomonadati; Pseudomonadota
Description: bacterial SSU rRNA
Rfam family: Bacterial small subunit ribosomal RNA
Source: RNAcentral
AGUCGAGCGGUAACAGGCGUAGCAAUACGUGCUGACGAGCGGCGAACGGGUGAGUAAUGCUUCGGAAUCUACCUCGUAGUGGGGAGUAACUAACCGAAAGGUUAGCUAAUGCCGCAUACGACCUUUGGGUGAAAGCGGGGGAUCGCAAGACCUCGCGCUAUGAGAUGAGCCGAAGUCGGAUUAGCUAGUUGGUGAGGUAACGGCUCACCAAGGCGACAAUCCGUAGCUGGUCUGAGAGGACGACCAGCCACACUGGGACUGAGACACGGCCCAGACUCCUACGGGAGGCAGCAGUGGGGAAUAUUGGACAAUGGGGGCAACCCUGAUCCAGCGACGCCGCGUGUGUGAAGAAGGCCUGCGGGUUGUAAAGCACUUUUAGUGGGGACAAAAAGCCGAGGGCUAACACCCUUCGGUCUUGAUUUAACCCAAAGAAAAAGCACCGGCUAACUCUGUGCCAGCAGCCGCGGUAAUACAGAGGGUGCGAGCGUUAAUCGGAAUUACUGGGCGUAAAGCGUGCGCAGACGGUUUCGUAAGUCGGGUGUGAAAGCCCCGGGCUCAACCUGGGAAUUGCAUUCGAAACUGCGAGGCUAGGGUACGGAAGAGGGAAGCGGAAUUUCUGGUGUAGCGGUGAAAUGCGUAGAUAUCAGAAGGAACAUCAGUGGCGAAAGCGGCUUCCUGGUCCAGUACCGACGUUCAGGCACGAAAGCGUGGGGAGCAAACAGGAUUAGAUACCCUGUAGUCCACGCCAUAAACGAUGAGAACUAGACGUUGAGAGGGUUAGCCUCCCAGUGUCGCAGCUAACGCGCUAAGUUCUCCGCCUGGGGAGUACGGCCGC